GUGGGGAAUAUUGGACAAUGGGCGAAAGCCUGAUCCAGCCAUGCCGCGUGUGUGAAGAAGGUCUUCGGAUUGUAAAGCACUUUAAGUUGGGAGGAAGGGCAGUAAGUUAAUACCUUGCUGUUUUGACGUUACCGACAGAAUAAGCACCGGCUAACUUCGUGCCAGCAGCCGCGGUAAUACGAAGGGUGCAAGCGUUAAUCGGAAUUACUGGGCGUAAAGCGCGCGUAGGUGGUUUUGUAAGUUGGAGGUGAAAUCCCCGGGCUCAACCUGGGAACUGCCUCCAAAACUGCAUGACUAGAGUACGGUGGAGGGUAGUGGAAUUUCCUGUGUAGCGGUGAAAUGCGUAGAUAUAGGAAGGAACACCAGUGGCGAAGGCGACUACCUGGACUGAUACUGACACUGAGGUGCGAAAGCGUGGGGAGCAAACAGGAUUAGAAACCCGGGUAGUCC
This 450-nucleotide ribosomal RNA is filed under the name uncultured bacterium. RNAcentral describes it as "partial 16S ribosomal RNA". It matches the Rfam family "Bacterial small subunit ribosomal RNA", at positions 354 to 796 of the family's 1533-position model. The record is from RNAcentral.